Molecule: ribosomal RNA, 326 nt
Filed under: uncultured Pseudomonas sp.
Lineage: Bacteria; Pseudomonadati; Pseudomonadota; Gammaproteobacteria; Pseudomonadales; Pseudomonadaceae
Description: bacterial SSU rRNA
Rfam family: Bacterial small subunit ribosomal RNA
Source: RNAcentral
CUGUUCGCCAUGCCGCGUGUGUGAGAAGGUAUUCGGUAUUGUAAAGCACUUUAAGUUGGGAGGGGGCCCUCCCAAUCACCUUGCUGUAUGACGUUACCAAAGAUGCACCGUCUAACUUCGUGCCAGCAGCCGCGGUAAUACGAAGGGUGCAAGCGUUAAUCGGAAUUACUGGGCGUUUAAAACUAAGGAAGGCGGUUCAGCAAGUUGGAUGUGAAAUCCCCGGGCUCAACCUGGGAACUGCAUCCAAAACUACUGAGCUAGAGUACGUAGAGGGUGGUGGAAUUUCCUGUGUAGCGGUGAAAUGCGUAGAUAUAGGAAGGAACACC